Molecule: ribosomal RNA, 262 nt
Filed under: uncultured bacterium
Lineage: Bacteria
Description: partial 16S ribosomal RNA
Rfam family: Bacterial small subunit ribosomal RNA
Source: RNAcentral
UACGUAGGGGUGCAAGCGUUAAUCGGAAUUACUGGGCGUAAAAGCGUGCGCAGGCGGUUUUUGUAAGUCUGUCGUGAAAUCCCCCGGGCUCAACCUGGGGAAUUGCGAUGGAGACUGCAAAGCUGGAGUCUGGCAGAGGGGGGGGGUAGAAUUCCACGUGUAGCAGUGAAAUGCGUAGAGAUGUGGAGGAACACCGAUGGCGAAGGCAGCCCCCCUGGGUCAAGACUGACGCUCAUGCACGAAAGCGUGGGGAGCAAACAGG